UCGAUAGGUGACCUGCGGAGGGAUCAUU
Molecule: ribosomal RNA, 28 nt
Filed under: Peltaster fructicola
Lineage: Eukaryota; Fungi; Ascomycota; Dothideomycetes
Description: partial 18S ribosomal RNA
Source: RNAcentral